Molecule: ribosomal RNA, 723 nt
Filed under: uncultured fungus
Lineage: Eukaryota; Fungi
Description: SSU rRNA
Rfam family: Eukaryotic small subunit ribosomal RNA
Source: RNAcentral
AUAGAGGCCUACCAUGGUGGUAACGGGUAACGGGGUGUUAGGGCACGACACCGGAGAGGGAGCCUGAGAAACGGUUACCACAUCCAAGGAUGGCAGCAGGCGCGCAAAUUACCCAAUCCCGACACGGGGAGGUAGUGACAAUAAAUAACAAUACGGGGUUCUUUAGGAUCUCGUAAUUGGAAUGAGUACAAUUUAAAUCUCUUAACGAGGAACAAUUGGAGGGCAAGUCUGGUGCCAGCAGCCGCGGUAAUUCCAGCUCCAAUAGCGUAUAUUAAAGUUGUUGCAGUUAAAAAGCUCGUAGUUGAAUUUCGGGGUUAGUAGGUUGGUCAUGCCUCUGGUAUGUACUGGUCUCACUGAUUCCUCCUUCCUUAUGAACCGUAAUGCCAUUAAUUUGGUGUUGCGGGGAAUUUGGACUGUUACUUUGAAAAAAUUAGAGUGUUUAAAGCAAGCUAACGCUUGUAUACAUUAGCAUGGAAUAAUGAAAUAGGACGUUCGAUCUUAUUUUGUUGGUUUCUAGGAUUGACGUAAUGAUUAAUAGGGAUAGUUGGGGGCAUUAGUAUUCAAUUGUCAGAGGUGAAAUUCUUGGAUUUAUUGAAGACUAACUACUGCGAAAGCAUUUGCCAAGGAUGUUUUCAUUAAUCAAGAACGAAAGUUAGGGGAUCGAAGACGAUCAGAUACCGUCGUAGUCUUAACCAUAAACUAUGCCGACUAGGGAUCGGAUGA